CCAACCCUAUGUUUAACUACCCUCUUGCUUCGGCGGGCCCGUCCUAAGGACCGUCGGAAGUCUGGGAAUCAUCGGACUUUCGGCCCGUGCCUGUCAGUAGCCCUGACAAAUUCUUGAUAAAUUGUGAUGUCUUAGUUAUAAACUUAAUAGUUAAAACUUUCAACAACGGAUCUCUUGGUUCUGGCAUCGAUGAAGAACGCAGCGAAAUGCGAUAAGUAAUGCGAAUUGCAGAAUUCAGUGAGUCAUCGAAUCUUUGAACGCACAUUGCGCCCUUUGGUAUUCCGAAGGGCAUGCCUGUUCGAGCGUCAUUAUCAACCCUCAAGCCUAGCUUGUUGUUGGACCUUUCGUCGUCAAAAGACGGGUCUCAAAGCUAAUGGCGGAGUCGUGUUGGACCUCAGAUGCAACGAGCUUUUACUAGCACGCGUCAACGGGACCAUCGGCUCUGGCCUUAACCCACAUAUAACAAGGUUGACCUCGGAUCAGGUAGGAAUACCCGCUGAACUUAA
Molecule: ribosomal RNA, 506 nt
Filed under: uncultured fungus
Lineage: Eukaryota; Fungi
Description: eukaryotic LSU rRNA
Rfam family: 5.8S ribosomal RNA (bases 155-308)
Source: RNAcentral